GUACAACAAAUCCAAUUACAGCUAACCGAUGUCUAUAAUCAAAGACUUUCAACAUUAACACUGUCACACAUGACCAAAAUUUUCGAUCAACGAAAAAAUUUCGACCUUCGACGACUGUUAGCGGGCAGCGAACGUCUUAUCGAUCACCUUCUCACGAAUGAUAGCCAAAAACGAGCGUGCAAUAAAAUUUCAAAUAAUCCAUUCAUAUUUUUGACACAAUCCGUUCGAAUUUUGGCUCUGGCCUCGGCUGUGUGUGAGUCGAUCAUCGCAGCGAUUGAUUCUUUUCCAAU
This is a long non-coding RNA of Sitodiplosis mosellana (orange wheat blossom midge), 290 nucleotides long. RefSeq lists it as uncharacterized. The transcript has 3 exons. NCBI's taxonomy places the organism in Eukaryota, Metazoa, Arthropoda, Insecta, Diptera, Cecidomyiidae. The record is from RefSeq and is a predicted model, not a curated record.